Molecule: ribosomal RNA, 342 nt
Filed under: Lamponius cf. portoricensis SB0366
Lineage: Eukaryota; Metazoa; Arthropoda; Insecta; Phasmatodea; Pseudophasmatidae
Description: partial small subunit ribosomal RNA
Source: RNAcentral
UAGUUAUUUUCUUUAAACCUAAAGAAUUUGGCGGUGUUUUAGACUAUUUAGAGGAACUUGUUUCGUAAUCGAUAAUCCCCGUUUUAUCUUUCUUUAAUUAGUAUUCAAUUUGUAUACCGCCGUUAUAAGUUUAUUCUUUUAGGUUAAUAAUUUACUUUAUAUUUUAUAAAAUUUUAUUUCAGGUCAAGGUGCAGUUUAUGUUAAAGUGUUGAUGAGUUACAUUAUUUAUUUGAAUUAUUGGAUUUGAUUAUUAUGAAUAUUUUUGAUGAAAGUGGAUUUAAUAGUAAUUUAAUUUAUAGAGAUUAUGUGAUAUAUAGCUCUGAAAUGAGUACACAUCGCCCG